Molecule: long non-coding RNA, 241 nt
Filed under: Elaeis guineensis (African oil palm)
Lineage: Eukaryota; Viridiplantae; Streptophyta; Magnoliopsida; Arecales; Arecaceae
Description: long non-coding RNA (EGUI_LNC031129)
Source: RNAcentral
CUCCUUCUCUUUGUCACAUUAAGAAGAGCCUAUCUAAAUUUAACAGUUGCUUCAUACUACUACCGAAGUGAGCUACAAAUUAUCUUUUGAGCUACUAAAUGAGUGGAUUAUCUCUAAUUGAAGGCUGGAGUACCACAUCCGACCAGACUUUCUGAGUGUAGCAAGGAAUAUAAGGUGAAAGAAGACAUCUAAAACCCCCUGAAUCAUCAUGGGAGUCUUGUAGCUCUUGAGGUAGUCUAGG